GUCGGGGAUGUCAGUGCAUCUGUUCCGCACUCACACGUGUGCCUGGGCGAGCACCAUGCGUUGGACGACGCUCUCUGCCGUGUGGGACCCCCUGCUAGCUUUCCCUUUCCCCGAUCGAGAGCAUGAACAGAACCAUCACCAAAGAUUCUGGCACUGGAUCGUAACAGAAAUCAACAAAUUCGUCGGCUUUAUCAUUCUAGGUGCUCCUCGAGGCUAUAUAUGUCGAGCCUCCCCAUUCAUCUCAUACCAUCAUCGGGAGAAAUCGUACACCAGGCCAGAACCAGUAGUGAGAGGAACGGAGAGAGGGGGAUCGGAAGCCGCCCGCGUCUUGCGCUUGAUUCACCGGAGCCUCAGCCACAAGGAUCGGACGGUGGGCAUCGUCUUGGUUCACAGGAUGCAUGUGCGUCAAUUGCAUGCACCGUGGAUGGCUGGAGACUACACAAUUGCUCGUCGAACUUCGAGCGCUGCCACGGUUCCAUGCCGAGCAGCGGCCAGACUUUGCAGACAGCCUAAAGCACCGGGUUGAUGCUCAAGCUGUGUUCGAUGAUGUUGUGACUGGCUCCUACUAGAUUGAAGGAUGACCAGGCGAAGCCAUCCUUGUUGUUGCGAAGGCAGGUUAUCAAUUUUUCCUCGUCUUCGCUGUUGAGGUGUUCGAUGACGAGUAUUGUAUGGUUGAGUACUGCUAGGCCUAGGUGGACUUGUUUGGCCCAUUUUGUGCUUUGGAUUGGGUGCUUUUCCUUUUUUCCAUUUUCUCCAUGCGAGGGCUUGAGUGGUGUUUGGUUUCUUUGUCAAGGUAAUGUACAUUUCUCUAGAUGGGAAUGAAGUCCCUUUCGAUGUUGUGAGCAGUCUACUAAUUUCCAUAGACUAUGAUUACACCCAAGGGCAUGAAAGUUUAAUGCAAAGGUAUAGGUCGUGAAUGGCAGCUUCAAGUUUGUUAAUGGAGCACCUGUCAAGGAUGGCGUUAUAGGGGUACACCAUGUCCACUAUGUCAUAUGUGACUUGCUCUGUUCUAGCGUUUGGGGUGGUUCCCAAGGACAUUGGUAAAUCUA
Zea mays is the source of this 1049-nucleotide long non-coding RNA. RefSeq lists it as uncharacterized. The record is from RefSeq and is a predicted model, not a curated record. NCBI's taxonomy places the organism in Eukaryota, Viridiplantae, Streptophyta, Magnoliopsida, Poales, Poaceae. The transcript is spliced from 2 exons.